Molecule: non-coding RNA, 85 nt
Organism: Parathielavia hyrcaniae
Lineage: Eukaryota; Fungi; Ascomycota; Sordariomycetes; Sordariales; Chaetomiaceae
Source: the annotation of a GenBank genome assembly
GGGCGUGUGGCUCAGUUGGUAGAGCGUUCGCUUAGCAUGCAUCAGUGUAUGCGAAAGGUCCUGGGUUCGAUUCCCAGCCCGUCCA